GACGAACGCUGGCGGCGUGCUUAACACAUGCAAGUCGAACGAAGAGCGAUGGAAGCUUGCUUCUAUCAAUCUUAGUGGCGAACGGGUGAGUAACGCGUAAUCAACCUGCCCUUCAGAGGGGGACAACAGUUGGAAACGACUGCUAAUACCGCAUACGAUCUAAUCUCGGCAUCGAGGAUAGAUGAAAGGUGGCCUCUACAUGUAAGCUAUCACCGAAGGAGGGGAUUGCGUCUGAUUAGCUAGUUGGUGGGGUAACGGCCCAACAAGGCGAUGAUCAGUAGCCGGUCUGAGAGGAGGAACGGCCACAUUGGGACUGAGACACGGCCCAGACUCCUACGGGAGGCAGCAGUGGGGAAUCUUCCGCAAUGGACGAAAGUCUGACGGAGCAACGCCGCGUGAGUGAUGACGGCCUUCGGGUUGUAAAGCUCUGUUAAUCGGGACGAAAGGCCUUCUUGCGAAUAGUGAGAAGGAUUGACGGUACCGGAAUAGAAAGCCACGGCUAACUACGUG
This 510-nucleotide ribosomal RNA is filed under the name uncultured bacterium. RNAcentral's name for it is "partial 16S ribosomal RNA". It matches the Rfam family "Bacterial small subunit ribosomal RNA", at positions 28 to 507 of the family's 1533-position model. The record is from RNAcentral.